AUUGAACGCUGGCGGCAUGCCUAACACAUGCAAGUCGAGCGGAGCGGCGGACGGGUGAGUAAUGCCUACGAAUCUGCCUGGUAGUGUGGGAUAACGUCCGGAAACGGGCGCUGAUACCGCAUACUAUCAGAUGAGCCUAGGUCGGACUAGCUAGUGGGUGGGGUAAAGGCCUACCAAGGCGAGGAUCCGUAACGGGUCUGAGAGAAUGAUCAGUCAAACUGGAACGAAGAACCGGUCAAGACUCCUAGGGAGGGAAGCAGUGGGGAAUAUUGGACAAGGGGGGAAAGCCUGAUCCAGCCAUGCGGCGUGUGUGAAGAAGGUCUUCGGUUUGUAAAGCACGUUAAGUUGGGAGGCGUUACCAAAAGAAAAAGCACCGGCUAACUUCGUGCCAGCAGCCGCGGUAAUAC
RNAcentral lists this ribosomal RNA (407 nucleotides) under uncultured bacterium. RNAcentral describes it as "partial 16S ribosomal RNA". It matches the Rfam family "Bacterial small subunit ribosomal RNA", at positions 30 to 526 of the family's 1533-position model. The record is from RNAcentral.